GGAAGCCGGACAAUACUGUCAAGCUAGAGGGCAUCAGAGGGGAGUGGAAUUCACGGAGUAGCGGUAAAAUGCGCAGAUAUCGGGAGGAACACCGAUGGCGAAGGCAGCUCCCUGGGAUGCACCUGACGCUAAGAGGCGAAAGCUAGGGGAGCGAACAGGAUUAGAGACCCUGGUAGUCCUAGCUGUAAACGCUGGGUGCUAGGUGUGGGACGUAGAAGUUCCGUGCCGGAGCAAACGCGAUAAGCACCCCGCCUGGGAAUUACGGUCGCAAGGCUAAAACUCAAACGAAUUGACGGGGCCCCGCACAAGCAGCGGAGCGUGUGGUUCAAUUCGAUGCUACACGAAGAACCUUACCUGGGUUUGACAUGUACGUGGUACGAGGGCGAAAGCCUAAGGACCCUUCGGGGAGCGUACACAGGUGCUGCAUGGCUGUCGUCAGCUCGUGCCGUGAGGUGUCGGGUUAAGUCCCGUAACGAGCGCAACCCUUGCCCUUAGUUACAAGUGUCUAAGGGGACUGCCGGCGGGAAGCCGGAGGAAGGUGGGGAUGACGUCAAGUCAGCAUGGCCCUUAUGUCCAGGGCUACACACACGCUACAAUGGUCAGUACAAAGGGUAGCGAAGUCGCGAGGCGGAGCGAAUCUCAACAAAGCUGAUCGUAGUUCGGAUUGCAGGCUGCAACCCGCCUGCAUGAAGCUGGAGUUGCUAGUAACCGCGCGUCAGCCAUAGUGCGGUGAAUACGUACCCGGGGCUUGUACACACCGCCCGUCACGUCAUGGGAGUCGGUAACGCCUGAAGCCGGUAGUCUGGCCCGCGAGGGGGGACGCUGUCGAAGGCGGGACUG
This 840-nucleotide ribosomal RNA is filed under the name uncultured organism. RNAcentral describes it as "bacterial SSU rRNA". It matches the Rfam family "Bacterial small subunit ribosomal RNA", at positions 618 to 1470 of the family's 1533-position model. The record is from RNAcentral.